AGGUAGUCCUACGUGGAGCAGGUCUAGCAGCACCUGCAGGAACUAGUUUUAAAGCAAACAGAGGCGAUGCUCAGGACGCGGAGGUGCACGGAUCACCAGGAAAAUGCUUCGCGCUGGUUCUACACCAUUACAGCUCACUCCGAACACCGGAGGCCCGAGCGUGACGGCUGGGGCUGUGCUGAUGAGGCAGCGUUAGACUCUCUGUGCAUGUCCGGGCAUUUACGCUCUGCUGUGGGAAACCCUUCUUGAGUGACAUACUUUUUUUUUUUUUUUUAACUCACUUUUCCUGGUUUCCAUGCCUCAUCGGACUGAUGAGUGGCUUGGUGGAAGAAAGAGAGAGUGUCCCUGGAGAAGAUUUCUAAUUUUGCUCCCUGGGUGAGCAGAAACUUUUACAGAGCAGGCUUCAGGCUGAUACUGGUGGAGGAGGGCUGGGAAAGGUCAAGGACCCCUGAAUCUUGGCUCUUUUUUCAGUGACUUUGUUGGUAAAGCCCCGUAGACAUUCUCCUAGGCUCUCUGCUUGAGACGAGAGACAGAUCAUUUCCCCCUCUAGAUUUAUAAGACUGUUUAAGGUUAUGGCAUCCUUAGGACCCAUGAGGCAGCCAGGAUCUAUGGAAAUAGCUGGGAAAACGGCGAACGCAGAAAGGGACCGAAUGCUGCCGGUUUUGUAAAAGCAACGAUAGUUUCAACUUAGACAGCAGACACGCCUGUUUGCCGCAGGCAUAAGCUUGAACGAUCUAUACUUGGAUGGCAAAAAUCCUGGAAAUUUUGUUUCUCUAACUCCAAAACAUUCUGGUUUUACUAUUUGGUUUUUAAAAAUAAUAUUGUCCUUUUCGAGGCGCACAUAAAUAUAGCGAUGCUCCUUCUGUGUCUUAUGUAUAACACUAGCAAACAAAGUGUCAGAUUGCUUAAAUGAAUGUUGUGCGUAGCAGUAGAUUUAUUAAAUUGUUCCAUCUUGGUUUUAAAUAAAUUUUUAAAAGUUGGGGUAUUUUGAAAUCAAAGCAUUCACAGUGGUAUAGGGUUUUUUUCCUUAAAUUGGUGAGACGAAGCAUUUAAUUUGGAAAAUUACCUCUUCUGACAAUUGUAGGAGAGUUUAUACAAACAGAGCAUUUAAUUUUAAAGUAGAAAAUCUAAAUCGUGUAAGUAUUGUCAUCUAUUUUCAUGCUCUGUUUAGACAGUCUUGCAGGCUACCAAAGUACAUAUUCUGGAAUGUUGAACAUCGUCGGUUUUCUUUGAUACCAGAGAUGGAUGAGGGCACGUAUCAGAAAUCUUUGUGUGUUUUUGUGCCCCUCUCCCCCGACACACACUCAGGCAGGGUGCUCGUGAUGGUGGAAGAUCCAGGAACCCCAGGAAGGCCCUAUUUGCUAUGCAAGGUUAAAACACACCAAGUUUAAUUUAAUAUUCUGGUGGUUUUUAUGGAAAGUGGAAACAGAUGGAAUAGGCAAAGGAAUAGUCAUCAUGUGUCUGACGCUAACCGGGGCGGGGGGGGGGGGGGAAAGCAGCUAUUCCCACAUUGGUGUUUGCCUUUUCUUCUUGAAGAUGUUCAUGCAGUUCAACAUUUGUUUUAAAAAACUUAAUGAGCGCAUUCGUAUCUCUGGGCUGCUGGCCUGUACGAAUUGCAUACGGGUGGCCUCGCAGAAGGGUGAUUGUCUUGCAUGGCAUCGGUCAUGGCACUAAAAGAUGCUUUCUUCGUCUGAAACCGAGUCUUAGUUAAAGCAGGGAAAUGAAACGCAAGUAACUGACUGUGAUAAGAUGAGCAAAAGUCUGGUUCAUCAGAAAAUAGUAUUAUUUUUGUCUAAGACUUUUUCAUAUUAGAGAGGAAAUUUGGUAGUGCCUUUCUUGGUACCUACGAGGAAGCGGUGAGAGGAAGCACAAUUCUGCGCACGUCUCUGCUGACACUGAAAUAUGUUAAAAAAGCUCACGUAGAUGGCAGGAACAGUACUACCAAAAAGCGUCUGUAAUCAAGAAUCAGUGAAUGAAUUCUAGUAACACACAAACAGUGUAUCUGAAUGACAAAAAUUCCUCGUUUUUCUUAUUAAAGGAAGUAUUUUUUUGGCACAUGCAAGGUAACCUAAAUAAAUGUUUUUGGAAAAAUACAACUGCUGUAUGAAAUUAUUUUUCUUAACCCAUCACAUUGAAUUGCGUUAUUCCUGUGUCUGUUAAUAUUGGAGCUCAGGUUUCGUUGCAGAAGAUUUCGUCUUCUUUCACUGCCUGCUUAUACAGUUCAUCCUUGUGAGUAAGGCUUUUUCCACAUCUAGAAUAUUUCCUGAGCGUAGUUCACUUCCUUUGCACCAUGUGAGUACUGGCACACCAAUCAGACAGCUGGAUUUUAUCUGUUCUCAACUGCAAGGAAAUUAGUUUUAAGAAUUCUUUGUCUAAACCAGCAUGCAAUGCAAUUCUUGUAUAGUUGUACUGAUUCAUGAAUUACUAAGAUCAAACUUAUAAAUUAACCAUAGCUAAGACUUCCACCCUUCUUUUGCUAUUUUCAAUUUUUUCUUAACUGUGUCAUAUUAUACAUCCUAUUGCUGCUCAGCAUUUAUAUGUAUUUGGACUUCAUCUGACCAGAAGUUGUUUGAUUUGACAGAUUUUUUUUUUUUUAUGUUAUUUGCAACAUCAAAAUAUGUUGCUAUGGAAAAAGUUACGAGUUCUAAUUAAAAAUGCAGAGGUCACAAGUUUCCCAGAACCAGUAGGGCAUAGAUCCUAGGAGAAAAGAAUCACAACAUAAAAAAUCCAGAGAUAUGUCAAUCUGCAACUUUCCAGAUCUGAAAGGAGAACAGCAAGCAUUCAAAAAAAAAAAAAACCCCAAAAACCCAGCAACCCACGAGACUGAAAUUUUGAUCGAGCUCCCUUGCGUUCAUUCAGAUGCUGUAUGUCUCGCUUCCCGCUGGCACAAGCUGCUUCUGGAAUUCAUGCAGAGCACUGAUAUUUGAAAUGUCAUCCCAAUACAACUUAAAAAGAGGAGAGAGAAAAAUUAGAUGGAAAUUAGUAGAGAGAGAAAUUAGACCUGCCUGGUCAUCCUUUCAAAUGAAAUACCAGUACUGAAAUAAUCUCUGUGUAAUGGCGUUGAGCGUUUUGUCAACCACACGCGUCCGUCACUUCCUUUGAAAGUUUGUCCGUGUUCAGUUGUCUCAUCGACUUCUCUUCCAUACCUCUUUAGGUGGUUUAAUUGUUCACAGUUUCCCCUUUUGUAAAUUUUCAUUUGUAAACAAUUAUUGUGUCUUUCCACUCCUUUUGCUCCGGUUUAGCCAAACGAAUUCCUGCUCCGUACCACUGAUGUGAACACACCUGGUCUGUGCUGCAUUGGAGAUUUCUGCAGAAGCGUGUUACGUGACAUAGGCAAGACGUAACCAUUUUUGCUCAGGAUGUAUUAAGCUUCUAAUCUUUUUACAGUGUUGGAGCUCUCAGUGCUUCCACUGCAGUCAUUCUUGGUUGGUUUUUUUUUUUUUUUUUAUUUUUGAAAUGACAAAUAUGGUGGAAUUGUCAUCGAAGUUUGCGGUCUCUGCCCUCCAGUAGUAGGGCAAAGCAGUCUGUCUCUUUGAACUCGGUUCCGCAAUUCAAAAGCGGCGAUGUGUUGCUACUACAGCACGGUGCCAAGUUAUCUCCAGUUUCCUCUCGGGAUAGCUGCUAAGUAUCUGUCUGUCUUACGGAGAUGGAAAGCUUGCAGUCCGAUGGGUCCUGCUCACCCAAUUACUCUUCUAGAUUUAAAAAAAAAAAAAAAAAAAUUUAAAUGUCAUUUCACUGAUGACUGAGCUUGCCAAAGUACAAAAUGUCUGUGAGCGCAGCACUUUGUUCUCCAGCGAGAAGCUGCCGUUUGCCAGCAGGUCUCGUUAUGCACGUGUGCAGCUUCGUGUAAUCAGCCAAGAUUCACCCUGAGGUUCACGUGGCCCUUAGAGAAUCAUUCUCGUGAAUGAAGGACAAUCAGAAAUGUUCCUGGUAGCCACGCUAGAUGAGAGGCUGUGAAUUCAGAUGACAGUUCAGAGGACAGCCGUACUUCUGAGAAGCAAGGGCGUAAAACCAACAUCAAACCAGCAGUCUCAUAACUGGAACCCAUUUUAUUCAAGUACAAGGCAACGGAACAACGUGAGCUGAUAAGCAAGGCGUUCCGUCUUCUGAAACAGAAUCGGAUGUAUACUGGAAAUGAAAACAAAAUGUAAAGUAAUUCCACGUGAAGACUUUCACAGCGAAGUUGGGCCAAAGAGAUUUCUCGCGUGCAUCGAUGAUUUCAGUUAACGAAGACAAUUAUGUGGAAAUGUUUUUAUGUGAUUAUAGGAUGAAAAAAAUCUGCGAAGUCAUUAAAAGAACCCUCCGUUUCAGAACAAACCAUAUAAGGUGCACAGAAUUCUGCCACGCUGACAUAGACUAGGCAGUAGACCAACACUUAAAGAAAAAAGGCCCCUUUGGAACCGAGAAGUAGCUGUCCUUCCCUUUGUGCUUCCCUUUCAGCGGUCAUCCUACCACUCUUUCUUUCCUGAGUAUUUUUACAGCUCCGUUCUGUACGUUCUAAGGUCUGUUAUGUCUAUUAAUGGGUUUUUGAAGGCCCUAAGGCUGUAGGAACACACACUGGUAUUUUCACUGAACCUGCCUGUAUGAACGAGAUGAUAUUUAAGCCAUAUGCUCAAAAAACUUUGCCAGUCAGUACUGAAUGGCUCUAGUUGGCCCUUAUGGCUGCACCGAGAAGAAGCAGGCAUACCUGGGGAUGACCGGCUCUGCUCUUGAAAAGGGAGCUGGAAAACUCAAUUGAGGCACGUUCAGAAUAGAAGGUAGCUGUGGGUGGCAAAUUUGCAUCUAGAAAGCCCUCAGAGAGGCAUUAAUUAGUUCCAGGUAGGGACCUCGCAAAGGUAUGGAUGACAAGGGUGAGGUUUUUUAGUAUCAAAGCUUCUUGGAUUUUAUUUUUGACCUUCUUAACAGCUAGAAUACUUGGGUAUCAACUGUGACCGGCAGAUCUCAUGCUCCUCUGGAGAAGAGGGACUACUCUGGAACUUGGGUUUAGUUGGAAGCGCGUUCUUAAAACAGUGCUGCCGUUACCCCAGAGCCACGCUGGUUUUGGGCUAGAAAACUAGCUCUGCGGGAGACAGUUGGCCUUCCUGCUGGAAUGUACGUCUGGAAGAUUAAAUUGUAGAAGACAGCUGUAAGAGCUCUGUCAAUACUUAGAGGAGGUGACGGGUCAAUUACGACAAAGACGACUUCUGGGCUUGGGAGAAAAGACUGUGGUAAGAAGACUUCUGGGCUUGGGAGCAACUGGUUGAGCACUAGCUCUAAGUCUAGGCAAUAAGGAGCACGGCACGAGCAGGCUCUUGCGACGCUGUGGUCAAAUGAGAGGGCUACUUAAUGAAAGAGGAGUUAUCUGCAAUAUGCAUGAGGUCUGUCUGGAUUAAAGGGGUACACAAUAGGUGUGUAUCAGUAGGCAGAUUGCUUCUCUCACUCUGUAAUUUUCUCCUCACCUCCGACAGCAAUCCUGCAGGCGCUCUUGUUCCAGACUCUCAAGUGCAUUUGCGUUACUUUGUCCCUUGACGGUCAAUGUUGGCAUUGCAGCGUGAACCGUCAAAUGGAAUUCACAAACAGGAGCAUGAGUUUGUAUUGAUUUCUGUGCUGUGACAGAUUAUGCCACAGGCUAGUUUCAGUGUAAGGGCUAGAAAUAAAAUCUGGGAAUUUCCCUUAUCAUAAUGCAAGUCUGGAUCCUAGAAGGAUCUGGCCAGUGUCUGAGUUAAACAUGUUGAUAUAAAUAAGUCCUUGCCAACCUUUAAAAAUGCAAGCAUGCUUAUGCAGAACUGUAAUCAAACCCCAUUUUUUUGGUUGUAAACUAUGAGUCGAUUUACUAAUGUCAGACUAUAGAUUAGAUACGACUUGCCAAAAAUAACUAUCAAAGCAGGUCACCACUGUGCAAACGAGACAAGUUUUUUCCAGAGGCUGUGCUCGUACUAUCGUGGCAUUCUGUGUUGGUUGUGUGAAUUAAAACGUAAGCUCAGUGCAAUUUAGGACAAAUUAAGUGUCUUUUUACUAUACUGUUAAAUACUAUCCUACCUGAGCUGACUGCUUGUGGCUGUUAUUUUAAAAACACACGCUUUUUAACAAACUGUGCACUUGCUAGAUUGGUGGCCUACGAUCGGAUCAGUUGAAUUGGAAAAAGCAAUUUAGCCUUUUAUUUGCUGUCUGCUGAAGCUGAUCUGAUAUGAUGCAGUCAAGCUGACCUCCUGAGAAACCUCCCAGUUUAAAUUUAGUCAAUAAUUUGGGAUUAACCAACAUGCUGAUCUUCACAUUCUGAGCUCUGUACGAGUUAAAUGUGUGUCUUUGAUCGACUUUCGACAAAAUUUGCAAUGAAAAGAGCAGUGUUUUUGCUGUGGUGCUCAAGCUUUAUUCUGCUGGUGACGUUGCUCCCUUGUCAUAUCCCCUAUAAGAAAUUCUGGGUAAAUACAUGCUUAUAGGUGCAGGUAAAAAAAGACACAGAAUAGUUUACCAGUACAUUCUCCUGGUAGCACACACCAAACUCUCCAAGUCCCACUGCUUUCUGUAACCCUAACACCGACUGGACAAAAAAAAAAAAACCUCUAUGAAGUGGCUCUUAGUUGCAGUGCUUCAUAAAAAAAAAAAUCGGAGCCAACUCUCAUGCACCAAAUGGAUUGAGUACCAGUGGUCCCGUGUUUCAUCAGUGCCGGUUUAGCAUCAUGUCAUAAUCUACAGCAAGAGACAAGUGGUUUUGUUUUGUUGGUUUUGGUUGGUUGGUUGGUUUUCACGCAACGGCUAGAAAAACAGCGUGGAGUUACUACUGAGAAGAUGAGGGGGGAAUUUCAAUAGCUCCUAUAAACAUACUGGAUUUGAAAAUUGAAACCAAAGGGAAUUUAUUAUACUUAUUAUACUUACUUUGUAAGGGAAGUUUCUUCAUACAUCUCUUACAAAAUUUAGUAAUGAUUAUUGCAAGGCUUAGCAAUGAGGUUACAUCCACUCAUUACGCCUGUGCACGUGUGUAUUUGAAAACAGGUUGGGAAUAAGAAUUGGCGUUUCUUGCACCAUGACCCAGUAUCCCAUUGGACAGGUUAGUUCCUGCUUUUGCAAGCUUUAGUAGUGCUUUAAUUUACGUAUUUACGGGGAGGGAAGUACAUAAAGAAGCACCUUUCUCCCAGAAAGAGGCAAGUACCCCCAGCAACAAGGGAGUUUCCUGGGGCUGAUUGUACAUAAGUUCUUCUUUACUGCUAUUUGCAAAGGCAGCAUCCAAGGGGAGGAAUGCACAAUUCUGGCUGCUUGGUUAAGGCCGCUUUAACGUAUCUGUGUGGAUGUCGAACUUCUUUUUGAAAGAAUAAAUGCAUUAUUUAAACGUACAUAGUGCCACUCGCUCCUAUAGAGCAAAAUAAAGAUGAAAAUAUCCU
This is a long non-coding RNA of Grus americana (Whooping crane), 7358 nucleotides long. RefSeq lists it as uncharacterized. The transcript has 4 exons. The record is from RefSeq and is a predicted model, not a curated record. NCBI's taxonomy places the organism in Eukaryota, Metazoa, Chordata, Aves, Gruiformes, Gruidae.